UACGUAGGGGGCAAGCGUUGUCCGGAUUUAUUGGGCGUAAAGAGCGUGUAGGCGGCCAGACAGGUCCGUUGUGAAAACUCGAGGCUCAACCUCGAGACGUCGGUGGAAACCGUAUGGCUAGAGUCCGGAAGAGGAGAGUGGAAUUCCUGGUGUAGCGGUGAAAUGCGCAGAUAUCAGGAAGAACACCCGUGGCGAAGGCGGCUCUCUGGGACGGUACUGACGCUGAGACGCGAAAGCGUGGGGAGCGAACAGG
This 253-nucleotide ribosomal RNA is filed under the name uncultured bacterium. RNAcentral describes it as "partial 16S ribosomal RNA". It matches the Rfam family "Bacterial small subunit ribosomal RNA", at positions 524 to 776 of the family's 1533-position model. The record is from RNAcentral.